Molecule: unclassified non-coding RNA, 426 nt
Filed under: Hevea brasiliensis (rubber tree)
Lineage: Eukaryota; Viridiplantae; Streptophyta; Magnoliopsida; Malpighiales; Euphorbiaceae
Source: RNAcentral
UGGUGUAGGUGUCAUUGGCCUUGAGUCCCAGUUUGCAGGUGAAAGCAAAGCAGCAUCAGAUAGUCUCUCACUUGCAGGUGGUUGUAAGUCCUCUAGAGUUCUUGGUGCAUACGCACAAAGAUUUAAACCCAAAGCUAAUUUUGCUUUUCUCCAUUUGCUUCCCAUUUUGAUUGAACUUGAACCACAACUUGAAAUCUUCCAAAGAUUCAAGAACCAGAGCAAGAAUCCAAGAAGUAGAAUUUAACAACUCAAAGAAACCAAAAGCAAGAACGAACAAAAACAGACAGAUCUCAAAGUGCUUUGAGCCAAGCUGCUUUCUUUGUUUUCUGUUUUCUUCUAUCUUGGAAGGGGAGAGACAAUGGGUUUUUAACAAAAGAUGAAAUUGAACACGAAAACCGAGAGAGAGAGAGAGAGAGACAGAGAGAG